Molecule: ribosomal RNA, 468 nt
Filed under: uncultured bacterium
Lineage: Bacteria
Description: bacterial SSU rRNA
Rfam family: Bacterial small subunit ribosomal RNA
Source: RNAcentral
ACGAACGCUGGCGGCGUGCUUAACACAUGCAAGUCGAACGAUGAAGGAAGAAGCUUGCUUCUUCUGGAUUAGUGGCGAACGGGUGAGUAACACGUGAGCAAUCUGCCCUUGACUCUGGGAUAAGCGUUGGAAACGACGUCUAAUACCGGAUACGACCCUCGGAGGCAUCUCCUGGGGGUGGAAAGAAUUUUGGUCAAGGAUGAGCUCGCGGCCUAUCAGCUAGUUGGUGAGGUAAUGGCUCACCAAGGCGACGACGGGUAGCCGGCCUGAGAGGGUGACCGGCCACACUGGGACUGAGACACGGCCCAGACUCCUACGGGAGGCAGCAGUGGGGAAUAUUGCACAAUGGGCGAAAGCCUGAUGCAGCAACGCCGCGUGAGGGAUGACGGCCUUCGGGUUGUAAACCUCUUUUAGUAGGGAAGAAGCGAAAGUGACGGUACCUGCAGAAAAAGCACCGGCUAACUACGU